Molecule: ribosomal RNA, 491 nt
Filed under: uncultured bacterium
Lineage: Bacteria
Description: bacterial SSU rRNA
Rfam family: Bacterial small subunit ribosomal RNA
Source: RNAcentral
GAUGAACGCUAGCUACAGGCUUAACACAUGCAAGUCGAGGGGCAGCAUGACGAUAGUUUGCUAUUGUUGAUGGCGACCGGCGCACGGGUGAGUAACGCGUAUCCAACCUUCCCGUUGCUAGGGGAUAACCUUGCGAAAGUAAGACUAAUACCCUAUGAAGUUCUUCGCAGGCAUCUAAAGAGAACGAAAGAUUUAUCGGCAACGGAUGGGGAUGCGUCUGAUUAGCUUGUUGGCGGGGUAACGGCCCACCAAGGCAACGAUCAGUAGGGGUUCUGAGAGGAAGGUCCCCCCACAUUGGAACUGAGACACGGUCCAAACUCCUACGGGAGGCAGCAGUGAGGAAUAUUGGUCAAUGGGCGAGAGCCUGAACCAGCCAAGUAGCGUGCAGGAUGACGGCCCUAUGGGUUGUAAACUGCUUUUAUAAGGGAAUAAAGUUAGUCUCGUGAGACUUUUUGCAUGUACCUUAUGAAUAAGGACCGGCUAAUUCCGUG